GGGGAAUCUUGGACAAUGGGCGAAAGCCUGAUCCAGCCAUGCCGCGUGAAUGAUGAAGGUCUUAGGAUUGUAAAAUUCUUUCACCGGGGAAGAUAAUGACGGUACCCGGAGAAGAAGCCCCGGCUAACUUCGUGCCAGCAGCCGCGGUAAUACGAAGGGGGCUAGCGUUGCUCGGAUUUACUGGGUGUAAAGGGUGCGUAGGCGGAUUGGUAAGUUGGAGGUGAAAGCCCAGGGCUCAACCCUGGAAUUGCCUUCAAAACUGCUAGUCUUGAGUGUGGGAGAGGUAAGUGGAAUUCCGAGUGUAGAGGUGAAAUUCGUAGAUAUUCGGAAGAACACCAGUGGCGAAGGCGACUUACUGGACCAAUACUGACGCUGAGGCACGAAAGCGUGGGGAGCAAAC
This 400-nucleotide ribosomal RNA is filed under the name uncultured bacterium. Its description in RNAcentral is "bacterial SSU rRNA". It matches the Rfam family "Bacterial small subunit ribosomal RNA", at positions 356 to 773 of the family's 1533-position model. The record is from RNAcentral.